Molecule: ribosomal RNA, 674 nt
Filed under: Echinococcus granulosus
Lineage: Eukaryota; Metazoa; Platyhelminthes; Cestoda; Cyclophyllidea; Taeniidae
Description: partial 16S ribosomal RNA
Rfam family: Archaeal large subunit ribosomal RNA (bases 384-536)
Source: RNAcentral
CUUGGCGGAGUUUUUUAAAGUAUGUUUUUGUACCGAAAGGUUUUGAUCUUAGAUUUAGUUGUUUAGAAGUGUUGUUUGGCCUGGGUAAGGUCUUGUAAACUAAAUUUAUGUGGUGAUAAGUGAGUCGUAAAGCUUUAUAACUGUUUGGUUGUUUAGAAUUUAGUGGGAUGUAGGUGGCUAUUAGGUCAUUUAUAUUUUUAUACAUUUGGUGAUGUGUGGUUUUUGAUAAGGUUAGAGGUACCUAGUUUUUGUUAUAUUGUUGUAAAUAUGGUUUUGUUGGUUUAUUGGUAUGUUAAUUGUUUGAACAACUGUUUUGCUAUAUUUGGUUAUUAUAUUAUCGUUGAAUAAGUAAUUUUAUUAUGCUAUUUAUUUCUUGAGUUCUUUCCGUCUGUUUAUUAAAAACAUUUCUAAUUUUAAUUGUAGUUAGUAGUGCCUGCCCAAUGUUGGUUAAUUAAUGGCCGCAGUAUAUUGACUGUGCAAAGGUAGCAUAAUUAAUUGCCUUUUAAUUGGAGGCUUGUUUGAAUGGUUUGACGUGAUUGGUAUGAAUAUUUGGUAUUUAGUUGAAAUUGAUUUUGAGGGUUUAGAAUCCUUAAUGUUUAAUAAGACGGAAAGACCCUAGGAUCUUUUGUUUUUGUUUGGGGCAAAUAUUGUUGUUUUAUGAAUAUUGUGACCCU